RNAcentral lists this ribosomal RNA (407 nucleotides) under bacterium. Its description in RNAcentral is "bacterial SSU rRNA". It matches the Rfam family "Bacterial small subunit ribosomal RNA", at positions 354 to 776 of the family's 1533-position model. The record is from RNAcentral.
GUGGGGAAUAUUGCACAAUGGGGGAAACCCUGAUGCAGCAACGCCGCGUGAAGGAUGAAGGUUUUCGGAUUGUAAACUUCUUUAGUCGGGGACGAAUAAAUGACGGUACCCGAAGAAUAAGCCACGGCUAACUACGUGCCAGCAGCCGCGGUAAUACGUAGGUGGCGAGCGUUGUCCGGAUUUACUGGGUGUAAAGGGCGUGUAGGCGGGACUGCAAGUCAGAUGUGAAAUUCCAGGGCUUAACCCUGGCGCUGCAUCUGAAACUGUGGUUCUUGAGUGCUGGAGAGGAAAGCGGAAUUCCUAGUGUAGCGGUGAAAUGCGUAGAUAUUAGGAGGAACACCAGUGGCGAAGGCGGCUUUCUGGACAGUAACUGACGCUGAGGCGCGAAAGCGUGGGGAGCGAACAGG